RNAcentral lists this ribosomal RNA (657 nucleotides) under Listeria monocytogenes. Its description in RNAcentral is "bacterial SSU rRNA". It matches the Rfam family "Bacterial small subunit ribosomal RNA", at positions 136 to 779 of the family's 1533-position model. The record is from RNAcentral. Lineage: Bacteria; Bacillati; Bacillota; Bacilli; Caryophanales; Listeriaceae.
GUUGGGGAUAACUCCGGGAAACCGGGGCUAAUACCGAAUGAUAGAGUGUGGCGCAUGCCACGCUUUUGAAAGAUGGUUUCGGCUAUCGCUUACAGAUGGGCCCGCGGUGCAUUAGCUAGUUGGUAGGGUAAUGGCCUACCAAGGCAACGAUGCAUAGCCGACCUGAGAGGGUGAUCGGCCACACUGGGACUGAGACACGGCCCAGACUCCUACGGGAGGCAGCAGUAGGGAAUCUUCCGCAAUGGACGAAAGUCUGACGGAGCAACGCCGCGUGUAUGAAGAAGGUUUUCGGAUCGUAAAGUACUGUUGUUAGAGAAGAACAAGGAUAAGAGUAACUGCUUGUCCCUUGACGGUAUCUAACCAGAAAGCCACGGCUAACUACGUGCCAGCAGCCGCGGUAAUACGUAGGUGGCAAGCGUUGUCCGGAUUUAUUGGGCGUAAAGCGCGCGCAGGCGGUCUUUUAAGUCUGAUGUGAAAGCCCCCGGCUUAACCGGGGAGGGUCAUUGGAAACUGGAAGACUGGAGUGCAGAAGAGGAGAGUGGAAUUCCACGUGUAGCGGUGAAAUGCGUAGAUAUGUGGAGGAACACCAGUGGCGAAGGCGACUCUCUGGUCUGUAACUGACGCUGAGGCGCGAAAGCGUGGGGAGCAAACAGGAUU